Drosophila persimilis is the source of this 739-nucleotide long non-coding RNA. RefSeq lists it as uncharacterized. The record is from RefSeq and is a predicted model, not a curated record. NCBI's taxonomy places the organism in Eukaryota, Metazoa, Arthropoda, Insecta, Diptera, Drosophilidae. The transcript has 3 exons.
UGCGUGUGCAGCAGCAUCUUCCGACUUACGGUCAAUCGCAGGUGCAGUUCCAGUUUGAUCCAUUUGCCAAUAUAUUGGGUGAUGCCUGUAGUCAGGCGGCGGAAUCGGCAUCGACAGCAUGGCGGAAGCAUUUAUCACCCUUCUUGGACACAAGCAGCUUAUUCCAAAAAAUGCAGAAGCGGAGAGCCUUAGGAAUACGGACUGAAUGCUCCGAGCGGAAAAUUAUUUUCAAUGGCAUCUUAGAGAUAUACCAAAAAUUUGGAUUCUGCCGACAACUAAGCUCGGAGUUGGUUGAGCCCUGUCCGCAGGAGAAUCAGGGGUACUGGUGCCCAAAGAAUGCCGGGGGUCCUAUGUACGACUGCAUCCGUGAUCGCAAUAGGUCCGAGGACGAAAAAAUACUGAGAAGAACAAAACAGAAAGAGAGGAGAGCUGCCAAGAGGAAGCUAGAGGAGGAGGCGACAAGUGUCGAUUAACUCUUAGCCCAUUAGAUGGUUUCCUGAGCCUUGCCGAUAGAAUGCUAAAAACAACAAAAACAACAAUCGGAACAACAGUACUCCAGAUACUCCUGCCGACAGAGCUCUUUAAUGUUCAUUAUAUAAUUUGUAUACCCAUUAUUCGAAGAGUUUAGAUAUACAUAUACCCAGAAGGAAGUGUUUCCGACACUAUUCUUGAUCAGCAUCAAAUUUUGUAUUUUCUUAAUUUUGUGCAUUAAAUUUUUCAUCUGCUCAGCCACAGUGGC